GACGAACGCUGGCGGCGUGCCUAAUACAUGCAAGUAGAACGCUGAAGGAGGAGCUUGCUUCUCUGGAUGAGUUGCGAACGGGUGAGUAACGCGUAGGUAACCUGCCUGGUAGCGGGGGAUAACUAUUGGAAACGAUAGCUAAUACCGCAUAAGAGUAGAUGUUGCAUGACAUUUGCUUAAAAGGUGCAAUUGCAUCACUACCAGAUGGACCUGCGUUGUAUUAGCUAGUUGGUGAGGUAACGGCUCACCAAGGCAACGAUACAUAGCCGACCUGAGAGGGGGAUCGGCCACACUGGGACUGAGACACGGCCCAGACUCCUACGGGAGGCAGCAGUAGGGAAUCUGCGGCAAUGGACGGAAGUCUGACCGAGCAACGCCGCGUGAGUGAAGAAGGUUUUCGGAUCGUAAAGCUCUGUUGUAAGAGAAGAACGAGUGUGAGAGUGGAAAGUUCACACUGUGACGGUAUCUUACCAGAAAGGGACGGCUAACUACGUG
This 495-nucleotide ribosomal RNA is filed under the name uncultured bacterium. RNAcentral describes it as "partial 16S ribosomal RNA". It matches the Rfam family "Bacterial small subunit ribosomal RNA", at positions 28 to 507 of the family's 1533-position model. The record is from RNAcentral.